CAGCCCUUGACAUCCCAUGACCGGUAGAGAGAUUUACCUUUCCCUUCGGGGACAUGGAGACAGGUGCUGCAUGGCUGUCGUCAGCUCGUGUCGUGAGAUGUUGGGUUAAGUCCCGCAACGAGCGCAACCCUCGCCCUUAGUUGCCAGCAUUUAGUUGGGCACUCUAAGGGGACUGCCGGUGAUAAGCCGAGAGGAAGGUGGGGAUGACGUCAAGUCCUCAUGGCCCUUACGGGCUGGGCUACACACGUGCUACAAUGGUGGUGACAGUGGGCAGCGAGCACGCGAGUGUGAGCUAAUCUCCAAAAGCCAUCUCAGUUCGGAUUGCAGGCUGCAACUCGCCUGCAUGAAGUUGGAAUCGCUAGUAAUCGUGGAUCAGCAUGCCACGGUGAAUACGUUCCC
RNAcentral lists this ribosomal RNA (399 nucleotides) under uncultured bacterium. RNAcentral describes it as "bacterial SSU rRNA". It matches the Rfam family "Bacterial small subunit ribosomal RNA", at positions 975 to 1375 of the family's 1533-position model. The record is from RNAcentral.